CUUUAUGGCGGGCCGUGCGGGUAGCCUUCGGGCUGGCCGGUUUCUUUCUUGUCCGGUUUUUGUGACCCCGCGCGGCCUGCCUCCCUA
This 87-nucleotide non-coding RNA is filed under the name Candidatus Kentrum sp. FM. Lineage: Bacteria; Pseudomonadati; Pseudomonadota; Gammaproteobacteria. The record is from RNAcentral.